RNAcentral lists this ribosomal RNA (166 nucleotides) under uncultured Actinomycetes bacterium. Its description in RNAcentral is "uncultured actinobacterium partial 16S ribosomal RNA". It matches the Rfam family "Bacterial small subunit ribosomal RNA", at positions 1165 to 1330 of the family's 1533-position model. Lineage: Bacteria; Bacillati; Actinomycetota; Actinomycetes. The record is from RNAcentral.
GGAGGAAGGUGGGGAUGAGGUCAAGUCAUCAUGCCCCUUAUGUCCAGGGCUUCACGCAUGCUACAAUGGCCGGUACAAAGGGCUGCGAUACCGUGAGGUGGAGCGAAUCCCAAAAAGCCGGUCUCAGUUCGGAUUGAGGUCUGCAACUCGACCCCAUGAAGUCGGA